GUGCUUCUUUUAGCGUCACAUACACUAAAAUAGAACUCAUGCAGAAAGGAAUAGCAUGACCUUUGUGCAAGGAUUACAUACAAAUUGAUGAAGUGCUCCAUAUUCUU
Molecule: small nuclear RNA, 107 nt
Organism: Suricata suricatta (meerkat)
Lineage: Eukaryota; Metazoa; Chordata; Mammalia; Carnivora; Herpestidae
Source: Ensembl